GUCGCCACUAUCUUCGUCGGACAUCACCACACUUCCAUGACUCCAACCCAAUUCAGGAAUCUGCUGUAACAAUCUUGCUAUAGAUGAAAUGUAGAGCUUCAUCGUUCUUUGAAAGUUAUAUCAAAUGAGAUUCAAUGAUCAUUUUUUCAUAUGAAAGAUAUGGUCUGAGUCCUCCAUAUGCUCAUGCUUUGCACGGUUAAAUCA
This 204-nucleotide long non-coding RNA is filed under the name Elaeis guineensis (African oil palm). RNAcentral describes it as "long non-coding RNA (EGUI_LNC024029)". The record is from RNAcentral. Lineage: Eukaryota; Viridiplantae; Streptophyta; Magnoliopsida; Arecales; Arecaceae.